RNAcentral lists this ribosomal RNA (352 nucleotides) under uncultured bacterium. Its description in RNAcentral is "partial 16S ribosomal RNA". It matches the Rfam family "Bacterial small subunit ribosomal RNA", at positions 338 to 687 of the family's 1533-position model. The record is from RNAcentral.
CCUACGGGGAGCAGCAGUGAGGAAUAUUGGUCAAUGGGCGAGAGCCUGAACCAGCCAAGUCGCGUGAAGGAUGACGGCCCUAAGGGUUGUAAACUUCUUUUGUCAGGGAGCAAUUGAGUCCACGGGUGGGCUUAGCGAGAGUACCUGAAGAAAAAGCAUCGGCUAACUCCGUGCCAGCAGCCGCGGUAAUACGGAGGAUGCGAGCGUUAUACGGAUUUAUUGGGUUUACAGGGUGCGUAGGCGGAAUAUCAAGGCAGCGGUAAAAAUUCGGGGCUCAAGCCGGUCGGGACGUUGAAACUGAUGUUCUUGAGUGGGCGAGAAGUAUGCGGAAUGCGUGGUGUAGCGGUGAAAU